AUAACGGUCCUAAGGUAGCGAAAUUCCUUGUCGGGUAAGUUCCGACCUGCACGAAUGGCGUAAUGAUGGCCAGGCUGUCUCCACCCGGGACUCAGUGAAAUUGAACUCGCUGUGAAGAUGCAGUGUACCCGCGGCAAGACGGAAAGACCCCGUGAACCUUUACUAUAGCUUGACACUGAACACUGGUCCUUGAUGUGCAGGAUAGGUGGGAGGCUUUGAAGUGUGGACGCCAGUCUGCAUGGAGCCAUCCUUGAAAUACCACCCUUUAAUGGCUGGUGUUCUAACGUGGGCCCGUGAACCGGGUUGCGGACAGUGUCUGGUGGGUAGUUUGACUGGGGCGGUCUCCUCCUAAAGAGUAACGGAGGAGCACGAAGGUUGGCUAAUCCUGGUCGGACAUCAGGAGGUUAGUGCAAUGGCAUAAGCCAGCUUGACUGCGAGCGUGACGGCGCGAGCAGGUGCGAAAGCAGGUCAUAGUGAUCCGGUGGUUCUGAAUGGAAGGGCCAUCGCUCAACGGAUAAAAGGUACUCCGGGGAUAACAGGCUGAUACCGCCCAAGAGUUCAUAUCGACGGCGGUGUUUGGCACCUCGAUGUCGGCUCAUCACAUCCUGGGGCUGAAGUAGGUCCCAAGGGUAUGGCUGUUCGCCAUUUAAAGUGGUACGCGAGCUGGGUUUAGAACGUCGUGAGACAGUUCGGUCCCUAUCUGCCGUGGGCGC
RNAcentral lists this ribosomal RNA (713 nucleotides) under Salmonella enterica. RNAcentral's name for it is "partial 23S ribosomal RNA". It matches the Rfam family "Bacterial large subunit ribosomal RNA", at positions 1942 to 2654 of the family's 2925-position model. The record is from RNAcentral. Lineage: Bacteria; Pseudomonadati; Pseudomonadota; Gammaproteobacteria; Enterobacterales; Enterobacteriaceae.